AUUGAACGCUGGCGGCAGGCCUAACACAUGCAAGUCGAACGAAAAGAGGAAGCAGCUUGCUGCUUUGCUGACGAGGGGGGGGGGGGUGAGACAUGUCUGGGAAACUGCCUGAUGGCGGGGGAAACUUACUGGAAACGGUAGCUAUUACCGCAUAACGUCGCAAGCCCAAAGAGCAAGACCUUAAGGCCUCUUGCCAUCGGCUGAGACCUGGUGCCGCUACGCAUUAGCUAGUAGGUGGGGUAACGGCUCACCAAGGCGACGAUCCCUAGCCGAUCUGAGAGGAUGACCAGCCACACUGGAACUGAGACACGGUCCAGACUCCUACGGGAGGCAGCAGUGGGGAAUAUUGCACAAUGGGCGCAAGCCUGAUGCAGCCACGCCGCGUGUAUGAAGAAGGUCUUCGGGUCGUAAAGUACUGUCAGCGGGGAGGAAGGGAGUAAAGUUAAUCUCUGCGCGCAUUGACGUUACCCGCAGAAGAAGCCCCGGCUAACUCCGUG
This 497-nucleotide ribosomal RNA is filed under the name uncultured bacterium. RNAcentral describes it as "partial 16S ribosomal RNA". It matches the Rfam family "Bacterial small subunit ribosomal RNA", at positions 30 to 507 of the family's 1533-position model. The record is from RNAcentral.